AGCGAACGCUGGCGGCAGGCUUAACACAUGCAAGUCGAGCGGGCACUUUCGGGUGUCAGCGGCGGACGGGUGAGUAACGCGUGGGAACGUGCCCUCUGGUUCGGAAUAACUCAGGGAAACUUGAGCUAAUACCGGAUACGCCCUUUUGGGUAAAGGCUUGCUGCCGGAGGAUCGGCCCGCGUCUGGUUAUCUAGUUGGUGAGGUAACGGCUCACCAAGGCGACGAUCAGUAGCUUGUCUGAGAGGAUGAUCAGCCACACCGGAACUGAGACACGGCCCAGACUACUACGGGAGGAAGCAGUGGGGAAUAUUGGACAAUGGGCGCAAGCCUGAUCCAGCCAUGCCGCGUGAGUGAUGAAGGCCUUAGGGUUGUAAAGCUCUUUUAUCCGGGACGAUAAUGACGGUACCGGAGGAAUAAGCCCCGGCUAACUUCGUG
This 435-nucleotide ribosomal RNA is filed under the name uncultured bacterium. RNAcentral's name for it is "partial 16S ribosomal RNA". It matches the Rfam family "Bacterial small subunit ribosomal RNA", at positions 29 to 507 of the family's 1533-position model. The record is from RNAcentral.